GACAGAGGGUGCAAACGUUGUUCGGAAUUACUGGGCGUAAAGCGCGUGUAGGCUGCUCGGAAAGUCGGAUGUGAAAGCCCUGGGCUCAACCUAGGAAGUGCAUUCGAAACUUCCGAGCUGGAGUGCUGGAGAGGAAGGCGGAAUUCUCGGUGUAGAGGUGAAAUUCGUAGAUAUCGAGAGGAACACCGGUGGCGAAGGCGGCCUUCUGGACAGCCACUGACGCUGAGACGCGAAAGCGUGGGGAGCGAACAGG
Molecule: ribosomal RNA, 253 nt
Filed under: uncultured bacterium
Lineage: Bacteria
Description: partial 16S ribosomal RNA
Rfam family: Bacterial small subunit ribosomal RNA
Source: RNAcentral